AUGUACCCUAUCGCCUGGGCAGUGGUUGAGAAAGAGACCAAUGAGUCUUGGGAUUGGUUUUGCUCUUUGCUUUUCAAAGAUGUUGAUGUGUAUGAUGGUAAUGGUUGGGUCAUUAUAUCAGACCAAUAA
Molecule: ribosomal RNA, 129 nt
Filed under: Triticum aestivum (bread wheat)
Lineage: Eukaryota; Viridiplantae; Streptophyta; Magnoliopsida; Poales; Poaceae
Description: partial small subunit ribosomal RNA
Source: RNAcentral